CUCAGACAUGCAAGUCGAACGCGAAAGCUUCCUUCGGGAAGCGAGUAGAGUGGCGCACGGGUGAGUAACACGUAAGUAAUCUACCCUUGGGUGGGGAAUAACAUCGGGAAACCGAUGCUAAUACCGCAUAAUGCAGCGGCUUCUUAUGAAGACAGUUGUUAAAGCAUUUAUGUGCCUGAGAAGGAGCUUGCGGCAGAUUAGCUAGUUGGUAAGGUAAUGGCUUACCAAGGCAACGAUCUGUAGCCGACCUGAGAGGGUGGUCGGUCACACUGACACUGAAUAACGGGUCAGACUCCUACGGGAGGCAGCAGUCGGGAAUUUUGGGCAAUGGGCGAAAGCCUGACCCAGCAACGCCGCGUGAAGGAUGAAGUUUUUCGGAAUGUAAACUUCGUAAAAAUAGGAAGAAUAAAUGACGGUACUAUUUGUAAGGUCCGGCUAACUACGUGCCAGCAGCCGCGGUAAUACGUAGGGACCAAGCGUUGUUCGGAUUUACUGGGCGUAAGGGCGCGUAGGCGGCGUGACAAGUCACUUGUGAAAUCUCCGGGCUUAACUCGGAACGGUCAAGUGAUACUGUUGUGCUAGAGUACAGAAAGGGUAAUCGGAAUUCUCGGUGUAGCGGUGAAAUGCGUAGAUAUCGAGAGGAACACCAGAGGCGAAGGCGGAUUACUAGGCUGAUACUGACGCUGAGGCGCGAAAGCUAGGGUAGCAAACGGGAUUAGAUACCCCGGUAGUCCUAGCCCUAAACGAUGAAUACUUGGUGUCUGGAGUUUAAUUCUCUGGGUGCCGUCGCUAACGUUUUAAGUAUUCCGCCUGGGGAGUACGCACGCAAGUGUGAAACUCAAAGGAAUUGACGGGGACCCGCACAGGCGGUGGAGCAUGUGGUUUAAUUCGACGCAACGCGAAGAACCUUACCUGAACUAGAAUGCGAGGGAAGAUUACCUAAUAGUAAUCGUCGGGCAACCGACCCAAAGCAAGGUGCUGCAUGGCUGUCGUCAGCUCGUGUC
Molecule: ribosomal RNA, 1004 nt
Filed under: uncultured bacterium
Lineage: Bacteria
Description: bacterial SSU rRNA
Rfam family: Bacterial small subunit ribosomal RNA
Source: RNAcentral